Molecule: ribosomal RNA, 253 nt
Filed under: uncultured bacterium
Lineage: Bacteria
Description: partial 16S ribosomal RNA
Rfam family: Bacterial small subunit ribosomal RNA
Source: RNAcentral
UACGGAGGGCGCAAGCGUUGUUCGGAAUCAUUGGGCGUAAAGCGCGUGUAGGCGGCCUGGCAAGUCGGGUGUGAAAGCCCGGGGCUCAACCCCGGAACUGCAUUCGAUACUGCCUCGCUAGAGUCCCGGAGAGGAAGGCGGAAUUCCCGGUGUAGAGGUGAAAUUCGUAGAGAUCGGGAGGAACACCAGCGGCGAAGGCGGCCUUCUGGACGGUGACUGACGAUGAGACGCGAAAGAGUGGGGAGCAAACAGG